AACAAGGCGUACCUGCGGACCUGCGGAGGGAUCAUUACCGAGUUUACAACUCCCAAACCCCUGUGAACAUACCAAUUGUUGCCUCGGCGGAUCAGCCCGCUCCCGGUAAAACGGGACGGCCCGCCAGAGGACCCCUAAACUCUGUUUCUAUAUGUAACUUCUGAGUAAAACCAUAAAUAAAUCAAAACUUUCAACAACGGAUCU
RNAcentral lists this unclassified non-coding RNA (204 nucleotides) under soil metagenome. RNAcentral's name for it is "partial contains 5.8S ribosomal RNA, internal transcribed spacer 2, and large subunit ribosomal RNA". The record is from RNAcentral.